RNAcentral lists this ribosomal RNA (301 nucleotides) under uncultured bacterium. RNAcentral describes it as "partial 16S ribosomal RNA". It matches the Rfam family "Bacterial small subunit ribosomal RNA", at positions 509 to 809 of the family's 1533-position model. The record is from RNAcentral.
CAGUAGCCGCGGUAACACGGAGGGUGCAAGCGUUAAUCGGAAUUACUGGGCGUAAAGCGCACGCAGGCGGUCUGACAAGUCAGAUGUGAAAUCCCCGGGCUCAACCUGGGAAUGGCAGUGGAUACUGGCAAGCUAGAGUGUGUCAGAGGAUGGUGGAAUUCCCGGUGUAGCGGCGAAAUGCGUAGAGAUCGGGAGGAACAUCAGUGGCGAAGGCGGCCAUCUGGGACAACACUGACGCUGAGGCACGAAAGCGUGGGGAGCAAACAGGAUUAGAUACCCGCGUAGUCCCUGUCUCUUAUAA